UGCAAUUAGGUUUUUCAUUGCGCUAAAUUUUACUGUUUAGUGGGUAAACCCCUUAGUGUUUCCAUACACCUGACCUGUGAGAUUUCACAUGUACAUAUUGAAAAAUAAUACUCCAUACUUAUAGAUAGACUUCAUGGAACACUCCAAGUACCAUAACCAGUAGAGUGCGAUGUAGUGGUUAUGGUGUUAAUAUGUCCCUGGCACUCUCCCGAGGAAGUAGUCAAACCAUUUGCGUUUGAAAUGUUAAGAUGUAUGUAAAAUAUAUGUACCAUACAGUCAUAGCUACAAUAAUGUCAUGAUAAUAAUGUCC
Pelobates cultripes (western spadefoot toad) is the source of this 310-nucleotide non-coding RNA. NCBI's taxonomy places the organism in Eukaryota, Metazoa, Chordata, Amphibia, Anura, Pelobatidae. The record is from the annotation of a GenBank genome assembly.